RNAcentral lists this ribosomal RNA (484 nucleotides) under uncultured bacterium. Its description in RNAcentral is "partial 16S ribosomal RNA". It matches the Rfam family "Bacterial small subunit ribosomal RNA", at positions 30 to 507 of the family's 1533-position model. The record is from RNAcentral.
AUUGAACGCUGGCGGCAGGCCUAACACAUGCAAGUCGAGCGGAUGAAGGGAGCUUGCUCCUGGAUUCAGCGGCGGACGGGUGAGUAAUGCCUAGGAAUCUGCCUGGUAGUGGGGGAUAACGUCCGGAAACGGGCGCUAAUACCGCAUACGUCCUGAGGGAGAAAGUGGGGAAUCUUCGGACCUCACGCUAUCAGAUGAGCCUAGGUCGGAUUAGCUAGUUGGUGGGGUAAAGGCCUACCAAGGCGACGAUCCGUAACUGGUCUGAGAGGAUGAUCAGUCACACUGGAACUGAGACACGGUCCAGACUCCUACGGGAGGCAGCAGUGGGGAAUAUUGGACAAUGGGCGAAAGCCUGAUCCAGCCAUGCCGCGUGUGUGAAGAGGGUCUUCGGAUUGUAAAGCACUUUAAGUUGGGAGGAAGGGCAGUAAGUUAAUACCUUGCUGUUUUGACGUUACCAACAGAAUAAGCACCGGCUAACUUCGUG